This 253-nucleotide ribosomal RNA is filed under the name uncultured bacterium. RNAcentral's name for it is "partial 16S ribosomal RNA". It matches the Rfam family "Bacterial small subunit ribosomal RNA", at positions 524 to 776 of the family's 1533-position model. The record is from RNAcentral.
UACGUAGGCAGCAAGCGUUGUUCGGAGUUACUGGGCGGAAAGAGUGCGUAGGUGGUGCCCUAAGUCUGUUGUGAAAUCUCCCGGCUUAACUGGGAGGGUGCGGUGGAAACUGGGGUGCUUGAGUGUGGGAGGGGUAAGCGGAAUUCCUGGUGUAGCGGUGAAAUGCGUAGAUAUCAGGAGGAACACCGGUGGUGUAGACGGCUUACUGGACCACGACUGACACUGAGGCACGAAAGCGUGGGUAGCAAACAGG